RNAcentral lists this ribosomal RNA (1237 nucleotides) under Lactiplantibacillus pentosus. Its description in RNAcentral is "bacterial SSU rRNA". It matches the Rfam family "Bacterial small subunit ribosomal RNA", at positions 44 to 1240 of the family's 1533-position model. The record is from RNAcentral. Lineage: Bacteria; Bacillati; Bacillota; Bacilli; Lactobacillales; Lactobacillaceae.
GUGCCUAUACAUGCAGUCGAACGAACUCUGGUAUUGAUUGGUGCUUGCAUCAUGAUUUACAUUUGAGUGAGUGGCGAACUGGUGAGUAACACGUGGGAAACCUGCCCAGAAGCGGGGGAUAACACCUGGAAACAGAUGCUAAUACCGCAUAACAACUUGGACCGCAUGGUCCGAGUUUGAAAGAUGGCUUCGGCUAUCACUUUUGGAUGGUCCCGCGGCGUAUUAGCUAGAUGGUGGGGUAACGGCUCACCAUGGCAAUGAUACGUAGCCGACCUGAGAGGGUAAUCGGCCACAUUGGGACUGAGACACGGCCCAAACUCCUACGGGAGGCAGCAGUAGGGAAUCUUCCACAAUGGACGAAAGUCUGAUGGAGCAACGCCGCGUGAGUGAAGAAGGGUUUCGGCUCGUAAAACUCUGUUGUUAAAGAAGAACAUAUCUGAGAGUAACUGUUCAGGUAUUGACGGUAUUUAACCAGAAAGCCACGGCUAACUACGUGCCAGCAGCCGCGGUAAUACGUAGGUGGCAAGCGUUGUCCGGAUUUAUUGGGCGUAAAGCGAGCGCAGGCGGUUUUUUAAGUCUGAUGUGAAAGCCUUCGGCUCAACCGAAGAAGUGCAUCGGAAACUGGGAAACUUGAGUGCAGAAGAGGACAGUGGAACUCCAUGUGUAGCGGUGAAAUGCGUAGAUAUAUGGAAGAACACCAGUGGCGAAGGCGGCUGUCUGGUCUGUAACUGACGCUGAGGCUCGAAAGUAUGGGUAGCAAACAGGAUUAGAUACCCUGGUAGUCCAUACCGUAAACGAUGAAUGCUAAGUGUUGGAGGGUUUCCGCCCUUCAGUGCUGCAGCUAACGCAUUAAGCAUUCCGCCUGGGGAGUACGGCCGCAAGGCUGAAACUCAAAGGAAUUGACGGGGGCCCGCACAAGCGGUGGAGCAUGUGGUUUAAUUCGAAGCUACGCGAAGAACCUUACCAGGUCUUGACAUACUAUGCAAAUCUAAGAGAUUAGACGUUCCCUUCGGGGACAUGGAUACAGGUGGGUGCAUGGUUGUCGUCAGCUCCUGUCCUGAAAAUGUUGGGGUUAAGUCCCGCAACGAGCGCAACCCUUAUUAUCAGUUGCCACCAUUAAAUUGGGCACUCUGGUGAGACUGCCGGUGAAAACCCGAGGAAAAGGGGGGGGGUGGAAGUCAAAUUAACUAUGGCCCCUUUUAACCGGGGGUACACACUGGUUCCAAAGGAGGGGGAC